GCACUGACCUGGGGUGCCCGCGGGCGGCUGGAUCCUGAAGGCGGCCGGCUCGGCCCAUCCCGGGUGCAGCGAGGGCCGACUCCAGGGUCUGGGGGUCCCAUGCAGCAGGAAACUACUCUUCGCCAAGGGCCAGCUGGAGUGCACAGGGCCCGGUGGAGGAACCUGGAGCCCUGGACCAUGGGAGAUCCACUAUACACACAGGAGCGGGCAGUCCGGAAUCACUCCCCUCCUAGGAAUUAACACAGUAACAGAAGACUAUGGACUGAUUCAUGUUCCUUAAACUUUGUUUUUAUAUUUUCCAAUGUAGGAAAAGUUAUAUGUAUACUGAUGUGUUUUAAUUCUAAUUAAAUGUUUUAAACAAGCAUUCUAUUUAAUUUUAUCAACAUA
This is a long non-coding RNA of Eptesicus fuscus (big brown bat), 387 nucleotides long. RefSeq lists it as uncharacterized. Lineage: Eukaryota; Metazoa; Chordata; Mammalia; Chiroptera; Vespertilionidae. The transcript is spliced from 2 exons. The record is from RefSeq and is a predicted model, not a curated record.